GGUGAGAUGGCCGAGCGGUCUAAGGCGCCAGACUAAGGAUCAGGACAUAUGAUGUCCAGUCAUUAUAUCUUCAAAGUUGAAGUGUAAUCUGGUCCUCCGGGGCGUGGGUUCGAAUCCCACUCUCAUCA
This 128-nucleotide transfer RNA is filed under the name Agrocybe pediades. RNAcentral describes it as "tRNA-Leu". It matches the Rfam family "tRNA". Rfam says of the family: Transfer RNA (tRNA) molecules are approximately 80 nucleotides in length. Their secondary structure includes four short double-helical elements and three loops (D, anti-codon, and T loops). The record is from RNAcentral. Lineage: Eukaryota; Fungi; Basidiomycota; Agaricomycetes; Agaricales; Agrocybaceae.